Molecule: non-coding RNA, 75 nt
Organism: Podarcis lilfordi (Lilford's wall lizard)
Lineage: Eukaryota; Metazoa; Chordata; Lepidosauria; Squamata; Lacertidae
Source: the annotation of a GenBank genome assembly
GAGGCCGUUACUCAGAGGGCAGAAUGUCUGCUUUGCAUGCAGAAUGGCACAGGGUUCAAUCCCUGAACGGCUUCU